CUGGUUCCUACCAUCUGUUUUCUUUUUGCAUCCUGCUCCUUCAAUUUAGAGAGACAGCUCCAGCUUUUCAGAGACAGUUAUCAUGGGGUCUACUGCUACAGAAAUCGAGGAGCUGGAAAACACCUCUUUUAAGUACCUUAUAGGAGAACAGACUGAAAAAAUGUGGCAACAGCUGAAAGGAAUGUGGGUGGAAAUAUUAUAAAGUAGUUGUGACUUCACCUUCUUUGUCAAUUUCACCAGAGAAAUAGUGUGUGGUCUUUGGCCAUAAGCUGGG
Molecule: long non-coding RNA, 274 nt
Filed under: Phascolarctos cinereus (koala)
Lineage: Eukaryota; Metazoa; Chordata; Mammalia; Diprotodontia; Phascolarctidae
Description: lncRNA (ENSPCIG00000014783.2)
Source: RNAcentral